RNAcentral lists this ribosomal RNA (557 nucleotides) under Eulimnogammarus verrucosus. RNAcentral describes it as "SSU rRNA". It matches the Rfam family "Eukaryotic small subunit ribosomal RNA", at positions 63 to 536 of the family's 1831-position model. The record is from RNAcentral. Lineage: Eukaryota; Metazoa; Arthropoda; Malacostraca; Amphipoda; Eulimnogammaridae.
GUCCAAGCUGUGUUCACACGGCGAGACCGCGGACGGCUCAUUAAAUCAGUCGUGGUCCAAAUGGGCCAGUGCAAAUCCUACUUGGAUAACUGUGGUAAUUCCAGAGCUAAUACAUGCAACUGAUAUCCCGAAGGCGGUGUUGGGGCUUGCUUGCCUUGCGCUGCGCUGCUCUGACGGAUGCUUUUAUUAGACCAAGCCGCUGAGGACUUGAGGGUUCGCGCUCUCUUGUUUGACUCGUGUGAUGGUGACUCUGGAUAACCAAAUUCUGACAAGCGCACGUACUUCUCUUCUGAGCGAGACGGCGCUGCCACUUUCGAGUGUCUGCCUUAUCAGCUAUCAACCGUUCGUUAUGCGCGACCGAUGGCUUUGACGGGUAACGGGGAAUCAGGGUUCGAUUCCGGAGAGGCAGCCUGAGAGACGGCUACCACGUCCAAGGACGGCAGCAGGCACGCAAAUUACCCAAUCCCAGCAAAUGGGGGAGGUAGUGACGAAAUCUAACGAUGCGGGCGCCCUUUCUGGGGCCCCGCAAUCGGAAUGGGCACUUUCUAAACAACCUG